UUUCUCAUUCUGGUUUAAUGCUAUUGAGAGAGGGCUACAAGUUCUGGUGUGAAAGAGAGAUGUAUAACACAAAGUACUAAAUCAUUUUUAUCCUGUACUGUUAAAAGCUUUUUAGAUUUAUUUACUCCCCACUGAGGUCACUGGGUGGUUUUCCAUUGAAUUCAAUAGCUUUUGGAUUAAGCUAAAAUGAAGGAAUGAAACAGUAGGACACUACAGCAGAUACAAAGAGCGGGACAGUACAUUAAAUGCAUGUGUUUUCUCAUCACAAUUGGUGUUUCAGGCUGUGUAAUCAGUGCCUCUCCCCAUAUAAUAACAAAAGAUUUCUGGGCCUAGAAAAGAUACAUUAUUUCACUGUUUUUUCUUCUAUUCAUUUAUUUUUAGGUGUAUCCAAAUAGCACAUGCCAAAAAGUGACACAAUUACUAUGUUUAUGUAAAUUCAGAUAAAUUAUUAAAAAAAAUAAAAUUCCUUGGUACUUUAAAAAAUAGUUACCUAGAUUUUCCAAAAUAUUUAGGUGCUUUCAAUAUGUAUUACAUCCUCAUAGGAAAUUGAAUGCCAGCAUGCAUGCAUAUAUUUAAACCAAAGCAAACAUCAGAAAAGUUUGCCUUGAUGGUAGUUCAUAUGUGUUAGUAUCUGCUAACAUUAGUCAUCUGCACAUUUAAGUUUUGUUAAAUGUACAAACUAUGUGACACUCCACCCUUGUUGCAACAUCGGCUUGCAACGUCCAGCACUUUUGUACUCCAAGGACUUACUGUCUUUCAGGGAAAGGGUCUGGGAUAUCUGCAUAGUGGGGAAAAAGAAAGGAAAGGGAAAAUAAUAAUUACAAUAUUUUGUAGACACUGAAGUAGCUUUGUCAAUGCAUAGAUUUUUAUUUCUUUAUUUAAAUUUACGGAAACAAAGUCAAGCCCUGAAAAAUUAAAAGCUAAUCAUGGUAUAUUUUUUAUAAAUUCACCCUUGUUGCAUAUGUUCUGCAUAAAAAAAAAUGUUUUACAUGGAUGAUCAAAUAAUACUCUUGUUUAAUAAGACUUCCUUCCAUUGGAGAGAUGGAUGGUGGUCCAAGGAUGACUGAGCUGUGAAGUGACAAGCAGAAGUGGUGCCUUCUGUCAACUCAUAAUAUCCAUUGAUUCAACCAUUCAUUCAAAGGAAAGGAACUAAAUGUUCUUGAGUACGUGUGAAAUGAGAAAGAACUUCUUGGUGCAAUAGCAUAAAAAUGUGCUCCAGAGCAGAGGGUAUAGAAAGAAAUUAACAUAAUUGAAAAUGUUUGGAAGGAAGAGAGAGGAAAGCUAAGAUGCAUCUCUGGGGAGUUAGUGCUGGGCCUGUGAGGCCUUUAGUUUGUUGUGAGUAGCUGUGAUAUAUUUUGCCUCAUUUCACUCCUAGAGGAAAUUCCAAAUCCUUAAAAACCCCACAACAGUCACAAAGCAUCAAAUAUUGAAAAUCUGAGAAAACUUGAUGCUUUCUGGGAUAUUUCUAGAUCCCACUUAAUUCGUGACUCAUGAUAGCAAUUAUCCUCUCCAUGCUAGGGGUACAGUAACUAAUUAAGUAGGCUCAUGAAAGCACCUUCAGAAUCUGGAAGGAAAGCAUAAUUGAUGUGAUUAUAUUCCUGUCAGGUUCUUCUGUCCAAAGCAAGCUUAAAACUGCUCAUGUCCACAAUUCAAAUGGAUAAAAAUCAAAUGCCUGGGAUUGGAAAUGGUUUAAUGCAGUUUAAUGUACCAUUCACUUUAAAAGAUAUUGUUCUUUAGAGGAGUCAUUCUUUAUAUUUUAUGAUGUUUGGAGGCAGACCUGUCUAAAAUUGAACUAUUUAAAUAUCACUUAUUAUGGGGGAAGACUGAUGGCUAUCUUGAUUCACAGCCUGCCAAGUUAAAGUAAGUUUGAGAUGCCGAACCUCCUGGAAACCACAGAAACUGCACAGCCUGAGUGAACCUGAAGGACAUCACCAACAAGAGCCUUGCUGGCACCCUCUCUUGAAGUCUUGCGUUCCUGAGACAGGAUGAUCAAAGCUCUCUCCCAUGCUCCUGAUAGUAAUUCAGCUGCUUUGGUAUCACACAUUUACAUCUUUCCUAUGUUUUUUUUUGUUGUUGUUGUUGCUGUUGCCGUUUCUUUUUUUUUUUUUUUUUUUUGUUUUGUUUCUUUGUUUUUCUUACAAUCUAGUAAACAGGAUUAUAGAAAAAGGACAAAAGAAAGAAUAAAAAAGGUGAAAAGAAGAAAAACAGAAGAGAAAAGAAUCUAAGCUUUCCCAGAGUAAAGACUACUAAUAGAAUUAAUUUAUUUGUACUGACAUUGAAUCAGUUAUGGACAAGAAUUUACUGAGUAAGGAGCUUACAUGUGUCUGAAAGAGUUGCCCAGUCACACCUUUCCCUGUUGAACUUCUCUGGAUGUGGUGCUGCAAGGAAUUUCUUUUUCACAUUGUGAGAAGACAGAAACUCACUACUUCACUCUGGAUGGAUCUAGUGAUUAAAGUCCUCCAUCUUCUCAAAGACAUUUGCUGACAUUUCAGUUGCUGAGGUGUAAAUGGGUAAGGGCAAGAAGCUCUCUUGAUUGGAAAGCAGAGAUGAUGUCCAAACACUUACUAAAAAAAAAAAAAAA
This is a long non-coding RNA of Taeniopygia guttata (zebra finch), 2581 nucleotides long. The record is from Ensembl. NCBI's taxonomy places the organism in Eukaryota, Metazoa, Chordata, Aves, Passeriformes, Estrildidae.